RNAcentral lists this long non-coding RNA (256 nucleotides) under Musa acuminata (dwarf banana). RNAcentral describes it as "long non-coding RNA (MACU_LNC003327)". The record is from RNAcentral. Lineage: Eukaryota; Viridiplantae; Streptophyta; Magnoliopsida; Zingiberales; Musaceae.
AAAAUUCAUCUAUUGCUUAUCAAAAGAGGAUGAAUACAUGACUAUUUAUAGGGUUUCUAAACCCUAACUCCUAAUAGGACUCCUACUCAAGACUCCUACUCAAGACUCAUAAUAGGACUCAUACUCAAGACUCCUACUCAAUUAAGACUCCUACUCAAGACUCAUAAUAGGACUCCUACUCAAGACUCCUAUUCCUUUACAACUCCUAAUUCUUCUCUAAGAAAUAACCUCCAAACCCUAGCCGGUCUCUUCACCU